UAAAAGUAAUUUUUUAUAAUUAUAAUUAUAAUUAUAAUUAUUAUGAUUUACAAUAAGUAGUGCAAAUUUUAAAAAAAUCCACGACCUCGAUACCCGCAGUGAUCGCAAUAGUAUCCAUUAUGUCCGCAAUCACGAUAAACACAACGCGACCGAAAACACAACCGUGACUGCAAUUUAAAUCCUUACUCAAGAGGAUGAUGUGGUAUGGCAAGCGAAGACUGGAUAUAGACUUCUAAAUACGGACCCUAUGAUGACUAUUCCUAAUGCUGACGAUAGAACAAUAUACAAGAAACUACGGAACACUCCGGCCCCUUCUAAGAUCAAAAUCGUGACCUGGAGAUUAUUACAUAACUAGGUCUACUUAUGUGAAUCUAUACGAGGCGUGUUGCAGCCACUCCUAUUUGUCCAAGAUGUCAAGCCGAACCUGAAACUGUUUCACAUGUAAUUACAACGUCUGGUCCUGCACAAGAGGUUUGGUAAUCAUUAUCUUUAAUUUGGCCAGCUAAUUCACAGAAUGAGCAUUUUUGGGUAUGGUUUGAAUUUCUUGUUAGAAACAGUUCCAUACCUGACUGUAGAAUGAUUAUUGUAUGCGCCAAACAAGAAGAUUAGGAGAACAAGCUGCAGUCGGCACAUGAUAUAUAUAGUGGGUAAAAUUCAAGCAUAUCUCAAGGAGUUGGACAAUUUGGACCUGAAAUUACCCGUGCAGAUUAAUCAUACAGUUGCCAAGUGAACUCCCCCAAGGGAUCCUUAUGUCAAGAUCAAUUUUGAUGCUGCAUUCAAAGAGCAAGAGAGACAAUCAAGAUCAGAAACAUACCUGAUGCUUUCUCGGCAGAAGCAUUAGCUUGUGUUCAGGCUCUAAAAUUUGCGCGUGAGAUGGGUUUCACCAUGAUUGAGGUUGAAGGGGAUUCUCGCACAGGAUCAUUUCAAAUAUUAAUGGUGCAAAGGAAGAUAAAUCUCUUAAUAGUGCAUAUAUAGCAGAUGCUAGAACUCAAGUGAAUCAUUUCAUGAAGGUCAUGCAAAUAGAGAAUGCAACAAGGUAGCCCAUGCGAAAGCACAGGAGGGUUUCGCAUUGCACGAAGAUACUUACUGGGUUGAGGAGGUUCCGACAGUAGCAUUGACGGCAGUGGCGACUGAUCGACGAUGAGUCGAUCCUCCCUGGUUAACGUUUUGGUUGGAGAUUGUGCUUUGAGGGCCAUCUUUGUCGUUUUGAUUGCAUGACUCUCUUAAGAUUUGGGUGGGUGCUCGUAUUUUUACAGUAAUCUAGCAUUUCUUGAUGCUUUUCUUCCCAUA
Molecule: long non-coding RNA, 1290 nt
Filed under: Gossypium barbadense (sea-island cotton)
Lineage: Eukaryota; Viridiplantae; Streptophyta; Magnoliopsida; Malvales; Malvaceae
Description: long non-coding RNA (GBAR_LNC012539)
Source: RNAcentral